This 406-nucleotide ribosomal RNA is filed under the name uncultured bacterium. RNAcentral describes it as "partial 16S ribosomal RNA". It matches the Rfam family "Bacterial small subunit ribosomal RNA", at positions 29 to 526 of the family's 1533-position model. The record is from RNAcentral.
AUUGAACGCUGGCGGCAGGCCUAACACAUGCAAGUCGAACGAGUGGCGGACGGGUGAGUAAUGUCUGGGAAACCGCCCGAUGGAGGGGGAUAACUCCUGGAAACGGUAGCUAAUACCGCAUACCAUCGGAGGCGCCCAGAUGGGAUUCGCCAGUAGGCGGGGUAAUGGCUCACCUAGGCGACGACCACGAGCUGGUAGGAGAGGAUGAACAGCCACACGGGAACUGAAACACGGUCCAGACUCCUACGGGAGGCAGCAGUGGGGAAUAUUGCACAAUGGGCGCAAGCCUGAUGCAGCCAUGCCGCGUGUAGGAAGAAGGCCUUCGGGUUGUAAAGUACUUGCAGCGAGGAGGCGUUACUCGCAGAAGAAGCACCGGCUAACUCCGUGCCAGCAGCCGCGGUAAUUC